RNAcentral lists this ribosomal RNA (253 nucleotides) under uncultured bacterium. Its description in RNAcentral is "partial 16S ribosomal RNA". It matches the Rfam family "Bacterial small subunit ribosomal RNA", at positions 524 to 776 of the family's 1533-position model. The record is from RNAcentral.
UACGAAGGGGGCUAGCGUUGUUCGGAUUAACUGGGCGUAAAGGGUGCGUAGGCGGGGUUUUAAGUCAGGGGUGAAAUGCCGAGGCUCAACUUCGGAACUGCCUUUGAUACUGGAACUCUUGAGUCUGGGAGAGGUGAGUGGAACUCCGAGUGUAGAGGUGAAAUUCGUAGAUAUUCGGAAGAACACCAGUGGCGAAGGCGGCUCACUGGCCCGGUACUGACGCUGAGGUGCGAAAGCGUGGGGAGCAAACAGG